Molecule: ribosomal RNA, 467 nt
Filed under: uncultured bacterium
Lineage: Bacteria
Description: partial 16S ribosomal RNA
Rfam family: Bacterial small subunit ribosomal RNA
Source: RNAcentral
GACGAACGCUGGCGGCGUGCUUAACACAUGCAAGUCGAACGGAAAGGCCCUGCUUUUGUGGGGUGCUCGAGUGGCGAACGGGUGAGUAACACGUGAGUAACCUGCCCUUGACUUUGGGAUAACUUCAGGAAACUGGGGCUAAUACCGGAUAGGAGCUCCUGCUGCAUGGUGGGGGUUGGAAAGUUUCGGCGGGUGGGGAUGGACUCGCGGCUUAUCAGCUUGUUGGUGGGGUAGUGGCUUACCAAGGAUUUGACGGGUAGCCGGCCUGAGAGGGUGACCGGCCACAUUGGGACUGAGAUACGGCCCAGACUCCUACGGGAGGCAGCAGUGGGGAAUAUUGCACAAUGGGCGGAAGCCUGAUGCAGCAACGCCGCGUGCGGGAUGACGGCCUUCGGGUUGUAAACCGCUUUCGCCUGUGACGAAGCGUGAGUGACGGUAAUGGGUAAAGAAGCACCGGCUAACUACGU